Molecule: long non-coding RNA, 1889 nt
Filed under: Canis lupus familiaris (dog)
Lineage: Eukaryota; Metazoa; Chordata; Mammalia; Carnivora; Canidae
Description: lncRNA (ENSCAFG00845004795.1)
Source: RNAcentral
CAAAUUACCUGUCCCGAAAUGUCACGGGUGUCUACCUUGAGAAACUUUUCUAUACCGGGAUAUUUUCCUGCCCCCAACCAGAUUCUGGAGCUUUGUGAGUUCUCACAGCGACCUGCAAAUCAUUACUAUAGAGAUAGGUCAUUUAAGUUGGCAAGGUGUUCCAGACUUAAACCAGCUUAAUUCAAAUAGAGAAUCAAUUAUGGCCCAAGUUAGAGAGCUAUUAUUCAUAUGUCCUGUUUAUAAGGGCUACCUGACCAACUCUCAGGGAUUACAAAGUGCUCUCAUUAGCUGCUUCCAUUAGGUCCUGGGACCUGUCUUGCCUAAAAUUUCUCAUGCCUAGACAGAAAUAUCAUGAAACAUGGAUCUGGGUCUGCUCACUCAUCAUCAGAAAACAAAUGUGACUUUACGUUCUAUUUUUUUUUUCCUAAUAUGAAUCUCACACUGUAAAAAUAAAGCUUAUUAAACAACGAAAGCUUAAGAAACUUCCUCAUGACACCCUUCCAAGACCUCUGAGGUCUCAGGGUAUGAAAAGCUGGGAUAUAAACCACUCUGGAUAAUGACAUUGUUAACACACACACAUUAGGGCUCCACCUUCUCCUUCCCAAGGAACUCAAAUUAGUUGCACAUUUCUCGGAAUAUCAGAAGUCGAGCUUUGAAAAUAAAAUAAAUGUACGUGGUUCAAAAGAAAGCAGCAAUUCCUUCCAAAGUCAGGUCUUAAAGACUCCGACCAAGUGACUAUCCUACAUCCUGCUCUAAUCACUCCAAACCUGCCCGUGGAAGAAGUUCGAGCAAUGCUGUUACCUUUUCUUGAUAUUUUUAAAAAAAAUUCUUCUAAGGAACCAGGUGCUAUCUGAGCUGGGAGGUUUUCUUUCUUUCAUUUUGUUAUUUGUUUUUUUUUUCCCUCAGAAGCAGCCAAGAGUGCCAGAAUGGAAGUGUCUGCUUGGAAGAAAUGUAGGACUACAAAAGCAAAUACUGGGAACCUUGUAAGAUCGUCUCCAAAAUAUGCCCUUAGAAAGAAUGAAAAGAAAGUCCUAGGUGCUCUUAAAAUCACAUUCCUCCCUCGUCAGAAGGACACCAAACGUACACCUAGUAAUAGGGGCUGCCUGAUGUAUGGGAAAAUAACCUUCCCAGUAGUCCAUGCAUCUAGACUAGGUUUAGUUAUUGCUUCCUUUGGAUGGGUUUUGGGAGACUUAAGUGCUUUGUGAUCAGUGAAUGGCAGUUGAGAUAAAAACUAGGAAUAAAGAAAACCAACUCUUUGCCUUUAAAUAGAAGUGGUUCCAGUUUCCUUUUACAAGCCCGAAGGGUUGUUGUACAUAUUAAAACUGCUGCACAGCUCCAUCCCUGGUCGCAGAAAUUCUCCCUCCACCCCCCAGCCUCCCCCCACCCCUACCCCCCAGGAAGAUGUCAGAUCUCUGGGAAACAGCAGUUACAAAAGGAUGCUUUUCAUAGCUUGUACUAGAAAACGCUGGCAUCCCAUCCCUGCAUAAAAUAGCACUAAACUGAGUCACAAUGCCGGAAGCUGUGCCUUCUGCUUCUCUUCAAUGGGAUCUAGAUAAUUUCUAGAGAAAAUAUGAAAUAAUAUAUUGCAUAGUUUUUUUUUUUUUUUUUUUUUUUUUUUGCCCGUGCAUGUGACACGCUGGUUCUUCUCAUCUCCCGCUUGCCCUAGAUAAUUUUAAGCUUUAUCCAUCCGUGUACCAGGCGAGAGAGAGAGAGAGAGAACGCAGUUAACAAGAUGACAGUGUUAUCUAGGUAUUUGGCAUCAAUAUUAGCAAGAGUCUGUCAUUUGACAAUUAUUUCCCUGGCAUGCCAGACGCUAAAGAAAAUGUUUUCAUUCAUCUGCAAAUGACUAACAUUUUAUUGAUGUCUCGGAACGCGGCUGAACACUACUG